Brassica oleracea var. oleracea is the source of this 930-nucleotide long non-coding RNA. RefSeq lists it as uncharacterized. NCBI's taxonomy places the organism in Eukaryota, Viridiplantae, Streptophyta, Magnoliopsida, Brassicales, Brassicaceae. The transcript is spliced from 5 exons. The record is from RefSeq and is a predicted model, not a curated record.
UAAGCAACGUCGCUUAAUUUAGGUCCAGAAAAGACGGAUCUUGUGGGGACGCGUGUCACACUCUCCAGUUUCUUUCUCUCUCUCUCGAAAGUCAUCUCCUCUCCUUCUUCACCGAUCUAUGCACCGAGAUCCUCCGAGCUCACGCUGGGACCUCGAACUCGCCAUCUCCUCCUUCACAUCACCAUCUGACCCUCGCGAAGAUGACCCUUCGUCUUCCCGCGUCGACGGCAGGUGAAGCGAUGUUAUCUCCAUCGGUUCGGAUUCUGGGUCGCCGGUGGAGCUUUGACGUAUUAGCUUGGUGCGAUAGGGUUUGGAUCAGGUCGCGGCGGCGGGUCUGAGUCAUCGUCGUCGGUUUCUUCGGCGGCAGGUGAAGCGAUGUUAUCUCUGCUGCUGGAGCUUUUGUUGUUGUUGAGAUGUUGUAUAGCUCUGAUCUACUUGCACUUGUUUGCCCUUUCUUCAAAUGGAAUGUAUAUUGCUACAGCAUCUGAGCAAGGAACUCUGAUCCGAGUCCAUCUUGUUUCUGAAUCAACUAAGUCAUAUAGUUUCAGGAGGGGGACAUACCCAUCAACAAUAUACUCACACUCUCUUUUGGACCGUCCACACAGCUACCUGAUAUAUUGAUUGCUACGAGUUCUUCAGGCUCCGUUCAUGCCUUCUCUUUAAUGUUGGCCAUAAACCAGAGAAGCAAAAGGUAUACUAUAUCGUGAUGAUAAUGGGAAGCCUCUUGUCUUGGAGUGUGUCAGAGAAGCUGAGCGUAGGAUUGCUGGCACCUCCUUCAUGUCACGAAGUAGGUCAUUGCAGGUAACGAAGUAGAUUCAUUUUGCAGGUCACGGAGUAGAUUCAUUGUAGUCUUGGCUUUGUGUGUCAUGAAAUUCAUGGAGUAGGACAUUGUAGUCUUGUCUUUGUUUUAAGAACUCAAUACUAAGAGCA